CCUGUGACCAAGCGUGAGUGACGGUAAUGGUAAAGAAGCACCGGCUAACUACGUGCCAGCAGCCGCGGUGAUACGUAGGGUGCGAGCGUUGUCCGGAUUUAUUGGGCGUAAAGGGCUCGUAGGUGGUUGAUCGCGUCGGAAGUGUAAUCUUGGGGCUUAACCCUGAGCGUGCUUUCGAUACGGGUUGACUUGAGGAAGGUAGGGGAGGAUGGAAUUCCUGGUGGAGCGGUGGAAUGCGCAGAUAUCAGGAGGAACACCAGGGCGAAGGCGGUUCUCUGGGCCUUUCCUGACGCUGAGGAGCGAAAGCGUGGGGAGCGAACAGGCUUAGAUACCCUGGUAGUCCACGCUGUAAACGGUGGGUACUAGGUGUGGGGUCCAUUCCACGGGUUCCGCGCCGUAGCUAACGCUUUAAGUACCCCGCCUGGGGAGUACGGCCGCAAGGCUAAAACUCAAAUGAAUUGACGGAAUCG
Molecule: ribosomal RNA, 470 nt
Filed under: uncultured bacterium
Lineage: Bacteria
Description: bacterial SSU rRNA
Rfam family: Bacterial small subunit ribosomal RNA
Source: RNAcentral